GAGGGCCAGACACUGGUGCUUGAAGACCUAGAAGUGGUUCAGACAGCACUGAACCCAAAGCAUCCAGCCCCCACUGCAGGAGAGAAAAUUGUGCUGGUGUGUUUCAAGGCUGAAAGCAAAGGAAGGAAACCUUACGCCAAGAAAAGAGGGAAUUUAUCUGAAAGAUAUGAAAAUAUGAAGGCUCUUAAUACUUCCUGUGAAGCGCCCUGUGGAGUGGUUGUGGACAUUUCUAUUCUUGAUUAUGCACCUUACCCUACUAAUUUUACUCUGACUUCACAAAAUUAGAGAAUUAUAUUUUUCUCAUUGGC
This 308-nucleotide long non-coding RNA is filed under the name Fukomys damarensis (Damara mole-rat). Its description in RNAcentral is "lncRNA (ENSFDAG00000029431.1)". Lineage: Eukaryota; Metazoa; Chordata; Mammalia; Rodentia; Bathyergidae. The record is from RNAcentral.